GUAGGGAAUUUUCGGCAAUGGGCGCAAGCCUGACCGAGCAACGCCGCGUGAGUGAUGAAGGUCUUCGGAUCGUAAAGCUCUGUUGUAAGGGAAGAACGUCUCUGUAAGAAACAGGGAGUGACGGUACCUUACCAGAAAGCCACGGCUAACUACGUGCCAGCAGCCGCGGUAAUACGUAGGUGGCAAGCGUUAUCCGGAAUUAUUGGGCGUAAAGGGUGCGUAGGCGGCUUGUUAAGUUUAUGGUGAAAGCGUGGGGCUUAACCCCAUUAAGCCAUAGAUACUGGCAGGCUAGAGUGUAGAAGAGGGCAGUGGAAUUCCAUGUGUAGCGGUAAAAUGCGUAGAUAUAUGGAGGAACACCAGUGGCGAAGGCGGCUGCCUAGUCUACAACUGACGCUGAGGCACGAAAGCGUGGGGAGCAAAUAGGAUUAGAUACCCCAGUAGUCC
This 444-nucleotide ribosomal RNA is filed under the name uncultured bacterium. Its description in RNAcentral is "partial 16S ribosomal RNA". It matches the Rfam family "Bacterial small subunit ribosomal RNA", at positions 354 to 796 of the family's 1533-position model. The record is from RNAcentral.